CCUACGGGAGGCAGCAGUGAGGAAUAUUGGUCAAUGGGCGCGAGCCUGAACCAGCCACGUAGCGUGAAGGAUGACUGCCCUACGGGUUGUAAACUUCUUUUAUAAAGGAAUAAAGUGAGGCACGUGUGCCUUUUUGUAUGUACUUUAUGCAUAAGGAUCGGCUAACUCCGUGCCAGCAGCCGCGGUAAUACGGAGGAUCCGAGCGUUAUCCGGAUUUAUUGGGGUUAACGGGAGCGUAGAUGGGUUGUUAAGUCAGUUGUGAAAGUUUGCGGCUCAACCGUAAAAUUGCAAUUGAUACUGGCAGUCUUGAGUACAGGUGAGGUAGGCGGAAUUCGUGGUGUAGCGGUGAAAUGCGUAGAUAUCACGAAGAACUCCGAUUGCGAAGGCAGCUUACUAAACUGCCACUGACAUUGAUGCUCGAAAGUGUGGGGAGCAAACAGGAUUAGAUACCCCUGUAGUC
This 460-nucleotide ribosomal RNA is filed under the name uncultured bacterium. RNAcentral describes it as "partial 16S ribosomal RNA". It matches the Rfam family "Bacterial small subunit ribosomal RNA", at positions 338 to 795 of the family's 1533-position model. The record is from RNAcentral.